RNAcentral lists this ribosomal RNA (253 nucleotides) under uncultured bacterium. Its description in RNAcentral is "partial 16S ribosomal RNA". It matches the Rfam family "Bacterial small subunit ribosomal RNA", at positions 524 to 776 of the family's 1533-position model. The record is from RNAcentral.
UACGGGGGGAGCAAGCGUUGUUCGGAUUUACUGGGCGUAAAGGGCGCGUAGGCGGCAUGACAAGUCACUUGUGAAAUCUCUGGGCUUAACCCAGAACGGCCAAGUGAUACUGUCGUGCUAGAGUACAGAAGGGGCAACUGGAAUUCUCGGUGUAGCGGUGAAAUGCGUAGAUAUCGAGAGGAACACCUGCGGCGAAGGCGGGUUGCUGGGCUGAUACUGACGCUGAGGCGCGAAAGCCAGGGGAGCGAACGGG